This 102-nucleotide non-coding RNA is filed under the name bovine gut metagenome. RNAcentral describes it as "SAM riboswitch (S box leader)". It matches the Rfam family "SAM riboswitch aptamer (S box leader)". Rfam says of the family: The SAM riboswitch is found upstream of a number of genes which code for proteins involved in methionine or cysteine biosynthesis in Gram-positive bacteria. The record is from RNAcentral.
CUUAUCCAGAGAGGUCGAGGGACGGGCCCGAUGAAACCCGGCAACCUGGCGUCCACGCGCAGGUGCCAAUUCCCGCGGCGCAUAUCGCGCCGAAAGAUGAGG